GCGCAGCAGUCGCGAAGCGUGACGGGGAACCCCAAGUGCCGUUGGUCUAUUGAUCGACGGCUUUUCGGGAGUUUAGGGAGCUCCCGGAAUAAGGGCUGGGUAAGUCGGGUGCCAGCCGCCGCGGUAAUACCCGCAGCCCAAAUGGUGGUCGCGAUUAUUGGGCCUAAAGCGCUCGUAGCCGGGUCGGCAAGUCCCUUGUGAAAUCGGGCGGCUUAACCGUUCGGCUUGCAAGGAAUACUGUUGGCCUUGAGGCCGGGAGACGCCGAGGGUACUCCGGGGGUAGCGGUGAAAUGUUCUAAUCCUCGGGGGACCACCAGUGGCGAAGGCGCUCGGCGAGAACGGACCUGACGGUGAGGGGCGAAGGCUAGGGGAGCGAACGGGAUUAGAUACCCGUGUAGU
RNAcentral lists this ribosomal RNA (399 nucleotides) under uncultured microorganism. RNAcentral describes it as "bacterial SSU rRNA". It matches the Rfam family "Archaeal small subunit ribosomal RNA", at positions 330 to 745 of the family's 1478-position model. The record is from RNAcentral.